Ictidomys tridecemlineatus (thirteen-lined ground squirrel) is the source of this 1038-nucleotide non-coding RNA. NCBI's taxonomy places the organism in Eukaryota, Metazoa, Chordata, Mammalia, Rodentia, Sciuridae. The record is from RefSeq and is a predicted model, not a curated record.
GAUCACUGUCAUCUCAGGAGAAGAGGAACCGCUGACCAUCCCAGUUGGGGCAAAGCCCAGGGGCAAGACAUGGCCACCACACAGAUGGGACCUACUGGGAAAGGUGGACAACAUGCAUGCACAGACUGAAAAUUAUAGCAUAGUGACGGAAAAUACAAGGAAGAAUCAAAUGGAAAUGACAGAAAUAAUAAACAUGGUAUCCAACAGAUUUAACAAUAGACUUGCCACAGCCAAAGUAAUAAUCAGUGAAGUUGUAAAUAGAUGGAUCAAUAGAAUCCCAGGAGAAAGAAAGAAUGAAAUAGUGGGAACCAUUUGAAGAGAUAAAAACCACAAAUAUUUCAGACAUGACUAAAGACAUAAAACCACAGAUCCAAGAAGUGUAGAAGACUCCAGACAAGAGAGAUACCAAAAUCACACCAAGUUCAAAUUGCUGAAAACUAAAAUAAAGAAAAAUCUUAAAGAGCUGCCAGGGUGGAGGUAUGAUGGGAGGACACAAAGCAGUCAGGGUAACAAAGGGUAGGAUCCUGGCAGAUUUAUCACUAUAACACAAGCCAGAGGCAGCAGUAUGACAGCUUUAAAGUAUGGAAUGGAAAUGUUUCCACACAGAAUUCUACAUGUACCUGAAAAAAUACCUUUGGCAAGUAAGACUUUUUCAGACUGGCAACAUCUGAGAUCAUUCACUCCCAGAGAAGUGCAACCUAAGAGAUGUUAAAGGAUGCUCAUUAGUCAGAAGGUGAUGAGACAGAGCAAACUCUUCUUAACGGAACUAAGAGUUCCUGAAAUAGUUUGAAAAGAAGAGAGAUGGAUGACUCCCCUUGCAGAUGAAGAGUUUUCAAGCCCUGGGGUCUAAGUGCCUCUGGUGAUGAUGGACAGGAGGCGAGGCACCGGGGAGCUUGUGCAUACCUGAAGUGGUUACCAGAAAAUGAGUCAAGCACCCAACUGGCAGCUGCCGUCUCCAAGAGGCCUGCCAUCCACUUGACUGACAGAAGCUGCAUUAACAAAUUAGAUGUUCACUAGUAAAAUUUCAAAGAGACACAA